Molecule: long non-coding RNA, 1160 nt
Organism: Vitis vinifera (wine grape)
Lineage: Eukaryota; Viridiplantae; Streptophyta; Magnoliopsida; Vitales; Vitaceae
Exons: 2
Source: RefSeq, a predicted model, not a curated record
UACACAGAAUUUGAAAUAUCCCUCUCUCCUAUUUUUUUUGGGUUUUACUUAGGGGAUGGGAGUCAUGGGACACAACUACUGCUAUUAUAUAAACCCUAAGAAUCACAAAAGUGUGAUCUCUCUAGGGUUUUGAUCAGGGCUUUUUCAAUAAAGUGGGUUCACUCUCUUUUUUCUAAGUUUAGGGUUUUUGAUGGGGUUAUGAGUGGUAAUGAUCUGAUCAUAUGGGGUGUUUGCAGAUUUCUUUGUGAGAAGUGGGGUUUGUGAAGAUUCAACAGUGAAGUUUCUCCCUAAAUCUAAGUGGGGUUUUCAACAGAAACACAAGCUGUUGAUCUGAGCUUGAAAAGAAGCUUUCAUCAUCCUCUCCAAUGGCUCAAAGGAGGAGAACAAGGAGACCAAGAAGAACCCAGUACAGCAGACCUCCUGUACAGUCCAGUGACCCACAGUCUUCAAUGGAUCAUGCAGCAGAUGAUAAUCCAUCCAAUACUCCGGCUGUAGAAUUGGAGAGUGUGGACAUCUCAAACAAUGGCUUCUCCACCCCUAAGGCUCAGAGGUUUCGCAUACCAGAGAUACUAACAUGCCCACCUGCACCCAAGAAGAGAAGGCCAAACUACUCACUAAGAAGGUCUCCUAUUGCUUUCUUUGCUCCACCAGACUUAGAGCUUUUCUUCUUCUUUGCUCUGGGAGAUGUCUCAGUUUGAAGCAGUACUACUGGUGUGUUCAUAGAGUAUAUAUUUAUAAAAUAUAUAUAUAUAUAUAAAGAUCAUUGAUCCUUUAGACACGAUGAUCUUUAUAUAAUGCUCUCUCUUUCUCUCCUUCUCUCAUUUUGUUUCUUUUGUUCUUCAAUUGAUCAUUGAAGUAUAGUGUGAGAAUUGAGUGGUCUUAGAGGAAGAAGUUGCUAGCUUUCUCCUUCUCUUCUUUUGCUAAUUUUAGUUGGGUUUUUUUUUUUUUUUAAUUAUUAUUAUGUUCAGGGUAUAUACUAAUAUUAGCUAAGUUCUUAGCCCUUUUUCCUUUUUCUUGGAUGGAUCCUGACUCCUGGUGUUUGGAGAGUCCACAAUGUAGUUGGUGGAUUUGAGCUUGUGUGGGUGUGGCUUUUAGCUUGUGUUUUUCAAGUCAAAUUUGAGGAAGUAAAGAAAGCACAUAGACUUCUUUUUUGUGUGUCA